GCCAUUUUGGCUCAGUGGAUAGAGCGUCAGCCUGCGGACUGAAGGGCCCCGGGUUUGAUUCCGGUCAAGGGCA
Non-coding RNA from Myotis lucifugus (little brown bat), 73 nucleotides. Lineage: Eukaryota; Metazoa; Chordata; Mammalia; Chiroptera; Vespertilionidae. The record is from Rfam.